GGGUUGUGAGGUUAAGCGACUAAGCGUACACGGUGGAUGCCCUGGCAGUCAGAGGCGAUGAAGGACGUGCUAAUCUGCGAUAAGCGUCGGUAAGGUGAUAUGAACCGUUAUAACCGGCGAUUUCCGAAUGGGGAAACCCAGUGUGAUUCGUCACACUAUCGUUAACUGAAUACAUAGGUUAACGAAGCGAACCGGGGGAACUGAAACAUCUAAGUACCCCGAGGAAAAGAAAUCAACCGAGAUUCCCCCAGUAGCGGCGAGCGAACGGGGAG
RNAcentral lists this ribosomal RNA (272 nucleotides) under Salmonella enterica. RNAcentral's name for it is "partial 23S ribosomal RNA". It matches the Rfam family "Bacterial large subunit ribosomal RNA", at positions 1 to 264 of the family's 2925-position model. The record is from RNAcentral. Lineage: Bacteria; Pseudomonadati; Pseudomonadota; Gammaproteobacteria; Enterobacterales; Enterobacteriaceae. RNAcentral also lists the same sequence under 1 other name.